RNAcentral lists this ribosomal RNA (325 nucleotides) under uncultured bacterium. RNAcentral's name for it is "partial 16S ribosomal RNA". It matches the Rfam family "Bacterial small subunit ribosomal RNA", at positions 43 to 359 of the family's 1533-position model. The record is from RNAcentral.
GCCCCCGCGAAUUCGAUUCAGGCCUAACACAUGCAAAAAAAAAAAUUCUCUUCGGAGAAGAGCGGCGGACGGGUGAGUAACGCGUGGGUAACCUGCCCUGUACACACGGAUAACAUACCGAAAGGUAUGCUAAUACGAGAUAAUAUGCUUUUAUCGCAUGGUAGAAGUAUCAAAGCUCCGGCGGUACAGGAUGGACCCGCGUCUGAUUAGCUAGUUGGUGAGGCCCCGGCUCACCAAAGCGACGAUCAGUAGCCGACCUGAGAGGGUGAUCGGCCCCCCUGGAACUGAGACACGGUCCAAACUCCUACGGGAGGCAGCAGUGGGG